This 435-nucleotide ribosomal RNA is filed under the name uncultured Lachnospiraceae bacterium. Its description in RNAcentral is "partial 16S ribosomal RNA". It matches the Rfam family "Bacterial small subunit ribosomal RNA", at positions 341 to 792 of the family's 1533-position model. Lineage: Bacteria; Bacillati; Bacillota; Clostridia; Lachnospirales; Lachnospiraceae. The record is from RNAcentral.
ACGGAAGGCAGCAGUGGGGAAUAUUGCACAAUGGGGGAAACCCUGAUGCAGCAAUGCCGCGUGAGUGAUUGAAGUAUUUCGGUAUGUAAAGCUCUAUCAGCAGGGAAGAAAAUGACGGUACCUGACUAAGAAGCCCCAGCUAACUACGUGCCAGCAGCCGCGGUAAUACGUAGGGGGCAAGCGUUAUCCGGAUUUACUGGGUGUAAAGGGUGCGUAGACGGUUGUGUAAGUCAGAAGUGAAAUCCCGGGGCUUAACCCCGGUGCUGCUUUUGAAACUAUGCAACUAGAGUGCGGGAGGGGCAAGCGGAAUUCCUGGUGUAGCGGUGAAAUGCGUAGAUAUCAGGAGGAACACCGGUGGCGAAGGCGGCUUGCUGGACAGUAACUGACGUUGAGGCACGAAAGCGUGGGGAGCAAACAGGAUUAGAUACCCUGGUA